Molecule: ribosomal RNA, 275 nt
Filed under: uncultured bacterium
Lineage: Bacteria
Description: partial 16S ribosomal RNA
Rfam family: Bacterial small subunit ribosomal RNA
Source: RNAcentral
GCGUGAGUGAAGAAGGCCUUAGGGUUGUAAAGCUCUUUCACCGGUGAAGAUGAUGACGGUAGCCGGAGAAGAAGCCCCGGCUAACUCCGUGCCAGCAGCCGCGGUAAUACGGAGGGGGCGAGCGUUGUUCGGAAUUACUGGGCGUAAAGGGCGCGUAGGCGGGAUAUCGUGUCAGGGGUGAAAGUCCUGGGCUCAACCUGGGGACUGCCUUUGAAACUGAUAUUCUUGAGACCGGGAGAGGAUGGCGGAAUUCCCAGUGUAGAGGUGAAAUUCGU